Melospiza melodia melodia is the source of this 877-nucleotide long non-coding RNA. RefSeq lists it as uncharacterized. The transcript is spliced from 2 exons. The record is from RefSeq and is a predicted model, not a curated record. Lineage: Eukaryota; Metazoa; Chordata; Aves; Passeriformes; Passerellidae.
CGGACAGACGGACAGACAGAGCCCGGCCAGUGGCCCUGCGCUGCGAACAAGGAAGAAGGGCGGGUCGGAAGGUGCGGGUUGUUCUCCUCUCCCUUCACAGGGAUGGACAGACUUGUGCACUGAAGUGAGACGCUCCCGUGGUGGUAGAGAAAUUCAGAUGGGGAAAAACAAAGCUCCGGGAUGUUUUUGCUGCAGUUUCCCUUUCCGCGCCGAUCACAGCGUCGUAAACCGGACAUCUCUUCUAGCAACUGUUUGCAUGUGCUCCUUCUCAAAGAAUUUCAGUCCCCACCUCUCGAGAGCAGGGCGGUGCAGAGGAAUUUGGAAACGCUCCCUUUGUCUUCUGCUGGCUUCCUCGCCCUGAGUGCAGCUGCAAAGUGACACAAUGUCAUAUCGUCAUUUUGGCACGGUACCUCGGGGGCAGAGGAGAGCUAAAGCAUGUUUUCUAGAAGGGAUGCAUGCUUCUCCUUUGCAGUGUUUCACAAGUCCCUGCUGUCUGUGGCUGAAAACGCUCCAGCGAGGAUUUAAAUGUGAGCAUCAUGAUACCCCAGCUCCCUGUCACUGAGAGUGGUUCUCCCAGUGCAGUUAACUGUUGCUGUCCUGCAUGCUGCAGGACUCCUGUGGAGUUUGCAGAUUGAAAUUGUGGUCCAAUUAUCUCCCAGAUUCAAUAUACAAUAGUCACUCUGUCCUUAGCCAAAAGAAUGAUAGGCUGAGUUGUUACGAUCUGGAGAUUGGGCAAGAGGACUAAUUAAUCUUCUGUUGUUGAAACACUGGAUUAGAUGGAUUAGAUGAAACCCCUCUGCUGUAAGCAACCACAAGAUGCUCCAACUGUAGAUAUAAGAAACUAAAAUCUUAAAUAAAUACGAAAAUGGAACUACCA